UACGUAGGGUGCGAGCGUUACUCGGAAUUACUGGGCGUAAAGCGUGCGCAGGCGGUUUUGUAAGCCAGAUGUGAAAUCCCCGAGCUUAACUUGGGAACUGCAUUUGGGACUGCAAGGCUAGAGUACGGCAGAGGGGGGUAGAAUUCCUGGUGUAGCAGUGAAAUGCGUAGAUAUCAGGAGGAAUACCGAUGGCGAAGGCAGCCCCCUGGGUCGAUACUGACGCUCAUGCACGAAAGCGUGGGGAGCAAACAGG
RNAcentral lists this ribosomal RNA (253 nucleotides) under uncultured bacterium. Its description in RNAcentral is "partial 16S ribosomal RNA". It matches the Rfam family "Bacterial small subunit ribosomal RNA", at positions 524 to 776 of the family's 1533-position model. The record is from RNAcentral.